Small nuclear RNA from Perognathus longimembris pacificus (Pacific pocket mouse), 105 nucleotides. The record is from RefSeq and is a predicted model, not a curated record. NCBI's taxonomy places the organism in Eukaryota, Metazoa, Chordata, Mammalia, Rodentia, Heteromyidae.
UUGCUCUUUCACUUCAGCCCCACAUAUACAGGAAUAAUACAGAGAAGUCUAGCAUGACCUCUGUGCAAGGAAAACAUGCAAAUUCAUUAAGAGUUCCAUAUUUUA